AUGGUUUCGGUUUCAUCCUCUCCGCCUCGUCGGAUCGUCGUGCCUGCACCAACCUGCCCAGCUCCAUGGUUAUUUCCCUGGGAGGAUUUCCUGCUCUCACGCGGUCCUCAGCCUCCAGUUCAGCCGCGCGCUGCUCAGUCUCCAGUUCAGCCGCGCGCUGCUCAGUCUCCAGUUCAGCCGCGCGCUGCUCAGUCUCCAGUUCAGCCGCGCGCUGCUCAGUCUCCAGUUCAGCCGCGCGCUGCUCAGUCUCCAGUUCAGCCGCGCGCUGCUCAGUCUCCAAGUCAGCCGCGCGCUGCUCAGUCUCCAAGUCAGCCGCGCGCUGCUCAGCCUCCAAGUCAGCCGCGCGCUGCUCAGUUUCCAGUUCAGCCGCGCGCUGCUCAGUCUCCAGAUCAGCCGCGCGCUGCUCAGUCUCCAGUUCAGCCGCGCGCUGUUCAAUCUCCAGCUCAAUCGUGCUUUGCCCAGUCUCCAGCUCAAUCGUGUUUUGCCCAGUCUCCUGCUCAAUCGUGUUUUCCCCAGUCUCCAGCCCAAGCUCCAGCCGCCGCGGCCCCGUUUCACCAUGCGGAUCCCGGUACAGAGGUCCGGUCCACACCGCGCCCAGCGCCUCAAACGACGGACAGUCGCAGCUGCUCCGGACGGCGACGGCGGCGGCGCGGGUCCAGGAUCCCGGGUCCCGCGGUCUCGGUCAUGGGGACCGAGCAGCCUUCUUCCCCGACAGAGGAGCCCCUUAAUUCUCUGACUGACUGUGUCCCUCUGAUAACAGGCAUCCCAGACAGCGUCGCCCGACGGGUCCACCUCCUCUGCUCUCCUCCAGUUGCCUUUCUCUUCGCCCACCUCAUGAACACCGCCAAUUCGGCUACAGACCAGGGCGCGAGAGAACAACUGUUCGAGGAAGCAGCCGCUCUCGUCCGGAGGGAGCCUGUUCUGCGUGAGGCCCUGCAACUCCCGGGCCUGCAGCCAGCGGUCGCUUCAUGCCCCACCUCUCAGUCAGGUCAGCCGAGUGUUACUCAUGCCCCGGUGCAGCCCUGUCGUCUCCAGGUCCCAGCCCAGUCGAACCUAGUCCAGACCCCAGAUCAGCCGUGUGUCGCCCAGACCCCAGAUCAGCCGUGUGUCGCCCAGACCCCAGAUCAGCCGUGUGUCGCCCAGACCCCAGAUCAGCCGUGUGUCGCCCAGACCCCAGAUCAGCCGUGUGUCGCCCAGACCCCAGAUCAGCCGUGUGUCGCCCAGACCCCAGAUCAGCCGUGUGUCGCCCAGACCCCAGAUCAGCCGUGUGUCGCCCAGACCCCAGAUCAGUCGUGUGUUGCCCAGACCCCAGUUCCGUCCUUGUCCCCGUCAGAGGGCACCGCCCGUCUGACGAUUGUUAACCCCACCCAAUCAGGCCCGACGUCUUCCCCGUCGAGCUCGGCAGCUGUAAGCUGUCAUGCCAGCUCCGGAGUUGACGCCGUUCCAGUCCCUGUCGGCCAUGUUGCGGCCGUUCCAGCUCCUGUCGGCCAUGUUGCGGCCGUUCUAGUUCCUGUCGGCUCCUCAGAGGAGGACGCCGUUCCUGUUCCCGUCGGCCAUAUUGAGGCCGUUCUAGUUCCAGUUCCUGUCGGCUCCUUAGAGGAGGACGCCGUUCUAGUUCCUGUCGGCUCCUCAGAGGAGGACGCCGUUCCUGUUCCCGUCGGCCAUAUUGAGGCCGUUCUAGUUCCAGUUCCUGUCGGCUCCUCAGAGGAGGACGCCGUUCUAGUUCCUGUCGGCCAAGCAGAGGCCGUUCCAGUUCCUGUCGGCCAUGUUGAGGUCGUUCCAGUUCCUGUCGGCCAUGUUGAGGUCGUUCCAGUUCCUGUCGGCCAUGUUGAGGUCGUUCCAGUUCCUGUCGGCCAUGUUGAGGUCGUUCCAGUUCUUGUCGACCAAGUUGAGGUCGUUCCAGUUCCUGUUCCUGUCGGCCAUGUUGAGGUCGUUCCAGUUCCUGUCCCUGUCGACCAAGUUGAGGUCGUUCCAGUUCCUGUUCCUGUCGGCCAUGUUGAGGUCGUUCCAGUUCCUGUCCCUGUCGACCAAGUUGAGGUCGUUCCAGUUCCUGUCCCUGUCGACCAAGUUGAGGUCGUUCCAGUUCCUGUCCCUGUCGACCAAGUUGAGGUCGUUCCAGUUCCUGUCCCUGUCGACCAAGUUGAGGUCGUUCCAGUUCCUGUCCCUGUCGACCAAGUUGAGGUCGUUCCAGUUCCUGUCCCUGUCGACCAAGUAGAGGGCGUUCCCGUAGGCCAAGUAGAGGGCGUUCCCGUAGGCCAAGUAGAGGGCGUUCCCGUAGGCCAAGUAGAGGGCGUUCCCGUAGGCCAAGUAGAGGGCGUUCCCGUAGGCCAAGUAGAGGGCGUUCCCGUAGGCCAAGUAGAGGGCGUUCCCGUAGGCCAAGUUGAGGGCGUUCCCGUAGGCCAAGUUGAGGUCACCCCUGUCUCUGACCCCGUUCCUGUCGACCCUGUAGCGGUCGUUCCAGUCCCCGUUCCUGUCGACCCUGUAGCGGUCGUUCCAGUCCCCGUUCCUGUCGACCCUGUAGCGGUCGUUCCAGUCCCCGUUCCUGUCGACCCUGUAGCGGUCGUUCCAGUCCCCGUUCCUGUCGACCCUGUAGCGGUCGUUCCAGUCCCCGUUCCUGUCGACCCUGUAGCGGUCGUUCCAGUCCCCGUUCCUGUCGACCCUGUAGCGGUCGUUCCAGUCCCCGUUCCUGUCGACCCUGUAGCGGUCGUUCCAGUCCCCGUUCCUGUCGACCCUGUAGCGGUCGUUCCAGUCCCCGUUCCUGUCGGCCCUGUAGCGGUCGUUCCAGUCCCCGUCACCCGUGGAGCCGCAGCGCCCGCCGGUCCCCAGGAGGAGGUCGCGCCAGUCGCAGUUCCUGCGCACCUCCAGGAGGAGGUCGCGCCAGUCGCAGUUCCUGCGCACCUCCAGGAGGAGGUCGCGCCAGUCGCAGUUCCUGCGCACCUCCAGGAGGAGGUUGCGCCAGCCGCAGUUCCUGCGCACCUCCAGGAGGAGGUUGCGCCAGCCGCAGUUCCUGCGCACCUCCAGGAGGAGGUUGCGCCAGCCGCAGUUCCUGCGCACCUCCAGGAGGAGGUUGCGCCAGCCGCAGUUCCUGCGCACCUCCAGGAGGAGGUUGCGCCAGCCGCAGUUCCUGCGCACCUCCAGGAGGAGGUUGCGCCAGCCGCAGUUCCUGCGCACCUCCAGGAGGAGGUUGCGCCAGCCGCAGUUCCUGCGCACCUCCAGGAGGAGGUUGCGCCAGCCGCAGUCCCUGCGCACCUCCAGGAGGAGGUUGCGCCAGCCGCAGUCCCUGCGCACCUCCAGGAGGAGGUUGCGCCAGCCGCAGUUCCUGCGCACCUCCAGGAGGAGGUUGCGCCAGCCGCAGUUCCUGCGCACCUCCAGGAGGAGGUUGCGCCAGCCGCAGUUCCUGCGCACCUCCAGGAGGAGGUUGCGCCAGCCGCAGUUCCUGCGCACCUCCAGGAGGAGGUUGCGCCAGCCGCAGUUCCUGCGCACCUCCAGGAGGAGGUUGCGCCAGCCGCAGUUCCGGCGCACCUCCAGGAGGAGGUUGCGCCAGCCGCAGUCCCGGCGCACCUCCAGGAGGAGGUUGCGCCAGCCGCAGUCCCGGCGCACCUCCAGGAGGAGGUCGCGCCAGCCGCAGUCCCGGCGCACCUCCAGGAGGAGGUCGCGCCAGCCGCAGUCCCGGCGCACCUCCAGGAGGAGGUCGCGCCAGCCGCAGUCCCGGCGCACCUCCAGGAGGAGGUCGCGCCAGCUGCAGUCCCGGCGGACCCCCAGGAGGGGGUCGCGCCAGCCGCAGUCCCGGCGGACCCCCAGGAGGGGGUCGCGCCAGCCGCAGUCCCGGCGGACCCCCAGGAGGGGGUCGCGCCAGCCGCAGUCCCGGCGGACCCCCAGGAGGGGGUCGCGGCAUCCGCAUUCCCGGCGGACCCCCAGGAGGGGGUCGCGCCCGCCGUAGUUCCUGCCGACCCCCAGGAGGGGGUCGCGCCCGUCGUAGUUCCUGCCGACCUCCAGGAGGGGGUCGCUCCCGUCGUAGUUCCUGCCGAACUCCAGGAGGGGGUCGCUCCCGUCGUAGUUCCUGCCGACCUCCAGGAGGGGGUCGCUCCCGUCGUAGUUCCUGCCGACCUCCAGGAGGGGGUCGCUCCCGUCGUAGUUCCUGCCGACCUCCAGGAGGGGGUCGCUCCCGUCGUAGUUCCUGCCGACCUCCAGGAGGGGGUCGCUCCCGUCGUAGUUCCUGCCGACCUCCAGGAGGGGGUCGCUCCCGUCGUAGUUCCUGCCGACCUCCAGGAGGGGGUCGCUCCCGCCGUAGCUCCUGCCGACCUCCAGGAGGGGGUCGCUCCCGUCCCGGCUCCGGCCGCAUCUGCAUCGGUUCCUGGCGGUCCGGCUCCGGUCGCAUCUGCAUCGGUCCCUGGCGGUCCGGCUCCGGCCGCAUCUGCUUCGGUUCCUGCCUCUCGUCGCGGUGGUCCAAGGAGGACGCCGCUGGUUCCUGCCUCGUCUCUGCCUUUGCUGCCGGACUGGUGGCCUCGCCCUCGGCGCAUCCUGCUGCUGGGAUGGCGCUGCCUCCUGCGGCGCCGUCCGCCUCGACUCCUCAACCGCCUGGAUCAGCGUCCGCCUGGUGGACGCUGCCAUGCGGGGUGGUCCCCGGGGACAUCGUCCCAGCUCAAGGGCACUAAGAGUGCCAUCCUGGCUCAGCGGCUGCUGAGCAGGAUCUCGCCACGCCGUCACCCUCCGUGA
Molecule: long non-coding RNA, 4716 nt
Organism: Betta splendens (Siamese fighting fish)
Lineage: Eukaryota; Metazoa; Chordata; Actinopteri; Anabantiformes; Osphronemidae
Source: Ensembl